GACGAACGCUGGCGGCGUGCUUAACACAUGCAAGUCGAACGGAAAGGCCCUGCUUUUGUGGGGUGCUCGAGUGGCGAACGGGUGAGUAACACGUGAGUAACCUGCCCUUGACUUUGGGAUAACUUCAGGAAACUGGGGCUAAUACCGGAUAGGAGCUCCUGCUGCAUGGUGGGGGUUGGAAAGUUUCGGCGGUUGGGGAUGGACUCGCGGCUUAUCAGCUUGUUGGUGGGGUAGUGGCUUACCAAGGCUUUGACGGGUAGCCGGCCUGAGAGGGUGACCGGCCACAUUGGGACUGAGAUACGGCCCAGACUCCUACGGGAGGCAGGAGUGGGGAAUAUUGCACAAUGGGCGGAAGCCUGAUGCAGCAACGCCGCGUGCGGGAUGACGGCCUUCGGGUUGUAACCCGCUUUCGCCUGUGACGAAGCGUGAGUGACGGUAAUGGGUAAAGAAGCACCGGCUAACUACGUG
RNAcentral lists this ribosomal RNA (468 nucleotides) under uncultured bacterium. RNAcentral describes it as "partial 16S ribosomal RNA". It matches the Rfam family "Bacterial small subunit ribosomal RNA", at positions 28 to 507 of the family's 1533-position model. The record is from RNAcentral.